RNAcentral lists this long non-coding RNA (2457 nucleotides) under Paramuricea clavata. The record is from RNAcentral. Lineage: Eukaryota; Metazoa; Cnidaria; Anthozoa; Malacalcyonacea; Plexauridae.
GGCGGCCGUUUACAGUUGUCGUUCGAUUAAACGUGGGAAAGACGAAAUUCCCGAUUUUUUCCCUCAAAUAAAUGGCCAGAAAGAGGUAACGUUUAAAAUACUAAUAUUAUUUUCUAAUACACUUUAAAUUGCAUUUUAAUCCUGCCAUCAACGCUUUUUAGGACGAACUGACAGAGGAUAAUGUCAAACGUGGCUUCAGUAACAUAGGAAUUGGCAGUUUAACUUCUCACGAGGUGAAGUAUCUAUCGUAUUCUGAGUUACAUUAGACAGACGCAAAUAUAUUUACAUAUAUACUAAACAUUUUACAAUUUUUCAAAUCCUUGUCCUGACAAAAUAAACUAUAUAAGUAAUAUUAAAGUGUUGAAGAAUCUAGACUCACAAAUCUCGCAUGUUUAAUGUUUUCAGUAGUCAUAUAUUUUUUAUAUUUAAUGACGUAGUAGCAGGAUUUCUAAUAGAAGCCAGCCACCAGGGCUUCGCAAUAUCCCGAUGACACCAGAUUUUAAAUUUGGAUACUGGAAAUCGCAAGCUCAGUAUCCCGAGAAAUUUGAAAAAUUCAAAUUUGAUGCCCUGGCCACCAAAAUGUCCACAAAGUCUUCUCUGAAUUUCUGUUGUGCACUUGUAUCAGUAGCCUCCUGCACCGAUGUCGUUGGUGGUCGAGGCCCCACCUAACGUCUGCUUACAUUCGCUAUGCAUUCAUCUUCCUGACAAUUAGCCAAUCACAAUCAUCUACACGACAAUUGAAAGAUCGACCUUCACUGACCUUCAUAUGGAAAAUCCAAAAUAAAAAUAUAAUCAUGGAGGGCUAUUAUCAACAAGUCUGUAGUAUUUUUAAAGUUGAAAGUUUUACUGCGCAUCAGAAAAAGACUUUUCAUUCUAUUAUAAACAAAAAGAAGGUGUUUUCGUAAAUCUCAGGAAAGUCACUUAUUUAUCAAGCAUUAUUCGAUGUAAUAUUUGGUGGUAAACAUUUAGUAAUCGUGGUUUCGCCAUUGAUAAAUUUAAUGCAAUAUCAAGUAAAAAAACUACACGAUCUAGGAGUCAGUGCUGUGUCGUUAAGUGAAAUCGAGAGCGAUGAAGAAGCGCAGGCAUUGCAAGAAGGGAAAUAUUCUGUAUUACAUGGCAUACCAGAAUCAUUGUUGAAGACCGAACAAUGGAGACGAAUAUGCUUUCCGACAAAUUGUAUAACAAAAUGGUUAGUGCUUUGGCUAUUGAUGCAUGAAUGUAUUAUAAUAAAUCCAAAACAUGUGUUUGCUUUUGUAAGUCUCAAAGCCACAGCAAUCAAUUAUCGAUCGGCCUUGGCCAUUUUAAUAUUCAUUAUUUUACAUUGUCUUCAUUGAAUUUGGUUUCUUAUACAUUGCCACAUAUUAUCUAUGGCACUGGGCUUGAAUUUUAUUGCAGUAAUUGCCGUAGAGGGAGAACAAAAUGCUGUGUCUCGAAAGCCAAGAAUCUUACUAAGCUUCUAAAGAAAUUCAUUGCGGAGAAAGGAAGACCACAGUACUGUAGAUAUGCUCCCACAAUGGAACCACAUUUGUUGGUGCAACUAACUAGCCAAGAAAAGUGAGUAAUGACGAGAAACCUAAACACUACCUUGCUGAGAACAAUAUCGUCUGGAGGUUCAAUUUGAAUUGCGCCCCAUGAUGGGGCACCUGAGUUUGAGAAAAUGGUUGGUCUUGUGAAGCAUGCCCUACAUAAAACCAUCGGAAACGGUCUUCUGUCCUAGAAAGAAUUCGAGGAUGUGUUGCUUGUCAAGGUGUGCUUGGAUGAUUGACCAAUGAGUUACAUGGAAGAUGAUGUGGGCGAGAUAGUCGUAGGAAUAUACAUGUGGAUUACGAGAAAGACAUAACCUUAUCCAUAAAUUAAACCAGUCCAAGUUAUCCGUCGGAGAUGUGAUCAUGAUAAUUUAGAGCGAUGAGAUGAAGAGAGGAAAGUGGAUCCUGGGUAUUGUGGUGGAACUGUUUCCAGGCCAAGACGGAGUGGUGAGUUAUCUCGAGAGGCCAAUAAUACAUCUAUACCCACUUGCAUUGUCUGUUUGACAAACUGGAAACGCACCAAUUACCCAGCGCCUUGAACACGGACGUGAAAGAAUUCAGACCGAAGAGAAGAGAGGCAAUUGUGGUGUAAGAGUUUGAACUUUAUAGCGAGCAUUGAUUCAUGUAUCUGUGGUUGUUUAGUUCUUAAACUUAUACAUAACUAUAAAUAUAAUUCAUUAUUACGUAACUGGAAGUCAUGUGAUUUGACCUGACAUUCAGUGGUGACAUGUUCUGGAAGAAAUCGGGUGUUCAUUUGGCAAAUUUCUUUCUUUUUAAUGAUUCAAUUUAAUAUAUUCUACAUCAACAUACACUAUGAUUUAUUGUUAGUACCAAUCAUACAUUUCCCAGGUUAACAAUGAUUAAAAUGCUGUUACUGUCUUUUUAGCUUUCUUCGGCACGAGAAAAAGUAUCACAAAUUCCUGUUAGUAAG